This 334-nucleotide ribosomal RNA is filed under the name uncultured Streptococcus sp. Its description in RNAcentral is "bacterial SSU rRNA". It matches the Rfam family "Bacterial small subunit ribosomal RNA", at positions 1047 to 1382 of the family's 1533-position model. Lineage: Bacteria; Bacillati; Bacillota; Bacilli; Lactobacillales; Streptococcaceae. The record is from RNAcentral.
GGUCGUCGUCAGCUCGUGUCGUGAGAUGUUGGUUAAGUCCCGCAACGACGCGCAACCCCUAUUGUUAGUUGCCAUCAUUCAGUUGGGCACUCUAGCGAGACUGCCGGUAAUAAACCGGAGGAAGGUGGGGAUGACGUCAAAUCAUCAUGCCCCUUAUGACCUGGGCUACACACGUGCUACAAUGGUUGGUACAACGAGUUGCGAGUCGGUGACGGCGAGCUAAUCUCUUAAAGCCAAUCUCAGUUCGGAUUGUAGGCUGCAACUCGCCUACAUGAAGUCGGAAUCGCUAGUAAUCGCGGAUCAGCACGCCGCGGUGAAUACGUUCCCGGGCCUU